AUUGAACGCUGGCGGCAUGCUUUACACAUGCAAGUCGAACGGUAACAGGCCUUCGGGUGCUGACGAGUGGCGCACGGGUGAGUAAUGCAUCGGAACGUACCCAGAGGUGGGGGAUAACGCAGCGAAAGCUGUGCUAAUACCGCAUGUGAUCUGAGGAUGAAAGCGGGGGACCGAGCAGCAAUGUUUGGCCUCGCGCCUUUGGAGCGGCCGAUGUCGGAUUAGCUAGUUGGUGGGGUAAAGGCCUACCAAGGCGACGAUCCGUAGCUGGUCUGAGAGGACGACCAGCCACACUGGGACUGAGACACGGCCCAGACUCCUACGGGAGGCAGCAGUGGGGAAUUUUGGACAAUGGGCGCAAGCCUGAUCCAGCAAUGCCGCGUGCGGGAAGAAGACCUUCGGGUUGUAAACCGCUUUUGGCAGGAACGAAACGGUGUCCGCUAAUACCGGGCGCUAAUGACGGUACCUGCAGAAUAAGCACCGGCUAACUACGUG
Molecule: ribosomal RNA, 492 nt
Filed under: uncultured bacterium
Lineage: Bacteria
Description: partial 16S ribosomal RNA
Rfam family: Bacterial small subunit ribosomal RNA
Source: RNAcentral